This 418-nucleotide ribosomal RNA is filed under the name uncultured bacterium. Its description in RNAcentral is "bacterial SSU rRNA". It matches the Rfam family "Bacterial small subunit ribosomal RNA", at positions 1001 to 1414 of the family's 1533-position model. The record is from RNAcentral.
UAGAAAUACGGGGGUGCUCCUUCGGGAGAGCGGUGAGACAGGUGGUGCAUGGUUGUCGUCAGCUCGUGUCGUGAGAUGUUGGGUUAAGUCCCGCAACGAGCGCAACCCCUAUCGUAUGUUGCCAGCGAGUAAAGUCGGGCACUCAUGCGAGACUGCCGGUGACAAACCGGAGGAAGGUGGGGAUGACGUCAAGUCAGCAUGGCCUUUAUGUCUGGGGCCACACACGUGCUACAAUGGCCGGUACAAACCGUUGCAAACUCGCGAGGGUGAGCUAAUCGGAUAAAGCUGGUCUCAGUUCGGAUUGUAGGCUGCAACUCGCCUGCAUGAAGUUGGAAUCGCUAGUAAUCGCGGAUCAGCACGCCGCGGUGAAUACGUUCCCGGGCCUUGUACACACCGCCCGUCACAUCACGAAAGCCGG